Molecule: signal recognition particle RNA, 284 nt
Filed under: Phascolarctos cinereus (koala)
Lineage: Eukaryota; Metazoa; Chordata; Mammalia; Diprotodontia; Phascolarctidae
Description: Metazoan signal recognition particle RNA (ENSPCIG00000010819.2)
Rfam family: Metazoan signal recognition particle RNA
About the family: The signal recognition particle (SRP) is a universally conserved ribonucleoprotein. It is involved in the co-translational targeting of proteins to membranes.
Source: RNAcentral
GCCAGGCAUGGUGGCACAUACCUGUAAUCCUUUAGGCUGGUGUGGAUCACUUGAGCUCAGGAUUUCUGAGCUGCAGUUGGGCUAAAAGGUUGAUCAGGUGUCUUUACUAAGUGUGGUACCAAUAUGGUGAGCCUCUGGGGGUGGGUAGUCACCGGUCUGCCUAAAGAGGGGUGGGCUGGCCCCGGUGAAAAAUGGAACACGUCAAAGCUCCCAUGUAGAUCAGUAGUGGGAUCUGAGCGAUAGGUGGCAGCUGCACUUCCAGCUCGGGUGAGAUAGGAAGACCU